Molecule: ribosomal RNA, 679 nt
Filed under: uncultured fungus
Lineage: Eukaryota; Fungi
Description: eukaryotic LSU rRNA
Rfam family: 5.8S ribosomal RNA (bases 215-368)
Source: RNAcentral
CUUGGUCAUUUAGAGGAAGUAAAAGUCGUAACAAGGUUUCCGUAGGUGAACCUGCGGAAGGAUCAUUCAUAAUAAGUGUUUUAUGGCACUUUUUAAAUCCAUAUCCACCUUGUGUGCAAUGUCAGUCGAUCUUCUUCAUGGAGAUCGGCCAAACAUCAACCUUAUUUUUUAACUCUUUGUCUGAAAAAUAUUAUGAAUAAACAAUUCAAAAUACAACUUUCAACAACGGAUCUCUUGGCUCUCGCAUCGGUGAAGAACGCAGCGAAAUGCGAUACGUAAUGUGAAUUGCAGAAUUCAGUGAAUCAUCGAAUCUUUGAACGCAUAUUGCGCUCUUUGGUAUUCCGAAGAGCAUGCUUGUUUGAGUAUCAGUAAACACCUCAAAGCUUUUGGAUUUUUUUUGAAAGCUUUGGACUUGAGCAAUCCCAACGCCAAUCUUUUUCAGAUCGGCGGCGGGUUGCUUGAAAUGCAGGUGCAGCUGGACUUUCUCCUGAGCUAAAAGCAUAUUCAUUUAGUCCCGUCAAACGGAUUAUUACUUUUGCUGCAGCUAACAUAAAGGGAGUUUGACCGUAUUGGCUGACAGAUGCAGGAUUUUACAAGGGUCGGCAACGAUUCUUGUUAAACUCGAUCUCAAAUCAAGUAAGACUACCCGCUGAACUUAAGCAUAUCAAUAAGCGGAGGA